GACGAACGCUGGCGGCGUGCUUAACACAUGCAAGUCGAACGGAAAGGCCUCUUUCUGGUGGUACGCUAGUGGCGAACGGGGGAGUAACACGUGAGUAACCUGCCCUUUACUUUUUGGUAACUUCAGGAAACUGGGGCUAAUAUCGGAUAGGAGCUCCUGCGGCGUGGUGGGGGGUGUGAAGUUUCUGCGGUUGGGGGUGGACUCUCGGCGUAUCAGCUUGUUGGUGGGGGGGUGGCUUACCAAGGCUUUGACGGGUAGCCGGCCUGGGAGGGUGACCGGGCAAAUUGGGAAUGAGAUACGGCCCAGACUCCUACGGGAGGCAGCAGGUGGGAAUAAUGCACCAUGGGUGGAAGCCUGAUGCCGCAAAGCCGUGUGCGGGAUGACGGGCUUCGGGUUGUAAAACGCCUUCGCCCAUGACCAAGCUUUGUGUGACGGUAGUGGGUAAAGAAGCACCGGCUAACUACGUG
Molecule: ribosomal RNA, 467 nt
Filed under: uncultured bacterium
Lineage: Bacteria
Description: partial 16S ribosomal RNA
Rfam family: Bacterial small subunit ribosomal RNA
Source: RNAcentral